AGAGUUUGAUCAUGGCUCAGAACGAACGCUGGCGGCAGGCUUAACACAUGCAAGUCGAACGGUCUCUUCGAAGGCAGUGGCAGACGGGUGAGUAAUGCAUGGGAAUCUACCGUUCUCUACGGAAUAACUCAGGGAAACUUGUGCUAAUACCGUAUACGCCCUUUUGGGGAAAGAUUUAUCGGAGAAUGAUGAGCCCAUGUUGGAUUAGCUAGUUGGUAGGGUAAAGGCCUACCAAGGCGACGAUCCAUAGCUGGUCUGAGAGGAUGAUCAGCCACACUGGGACUGAGACACGGCCCAGACUCCUACGGGAGGCAGCAGUGGGGAAUAUUGGACAAUGGGCGCAAGCCUGAUCCAGCCAUGCCGCGUGAGUGAUGAAGGCCCUAGGGCUGUAAAGCUCUUUCACCGGUGAAGAUAAUGACGGUAACCGGAGAAGAAGCCCCGGCUAACUUCGUGCCAGCAGCCGCGGUAA
This 469-nucleotide ribosomal RNA is filed under the name uncultured Pseudochrobactrum sp. RNAcentral describes it as "bacterial SSU rRNA". It matches the Rfam family "Bacterial small subunit ribosomal RNA", at positions 8 to 523 of the family's 1533-position model. Lineage: Bacteria; Pseudomonadati; Pseudomonadota; Alphaproteobacteria; Hyphomicrobiales; Brucellaceae. The record is from RNAcentral.